UAAGGAAUAUUGGUCAAUGGACGCAAGUCUGAACCAGCUAUGCCGCGUGAAGGAUUAAGGUCCUSUGGAUUGUAAACUUCUUUUAUCUGGGACGAAAAAAGGUCUUUCUAGAUCACUUGACGGUACCAGAUGGAUAAGCACCGGCUAACUCCGUGCCAGCAGCCGCGGUAAUACGGAGGGUGCAAGCGUUAUCCGGAUUCACUGGGUUUAAAGGGUGCGUAGGCGGGCAGGUAAGUCAGUGGUGAAAUCCUGGAGCUCAACUCCAGAACUGCCAUUGAUACUAUCUGUCUUGAAUAUUGUGGAGGUAAGCGGAAUAUGUCAUGUAGCGGUGAAAUGCUUAGAUAUGACAUAGAACACCCAUUGCGAAGGCAGCUUACUACGCAUAUAUUGACGCUGAGGCACGAAAGCGUGGGGAUCAAACAGGAUUAGAUACCCUGGUAGUCCACGCCCUAAACGAUGGAUACUCGACAUACGCGAUACACUGUGUGUGUCUGAGCGAAAGCAUUAAGUAUCCCACCUGGGAAGUACGUUCGCAAGAAUG
This 541-nucleotide ribosomal RNA is filed under the name uncultured prokaryote. Its description in RNAcentral is "bacterial SSU rRNA". It matches the Rfam family "Bacterial small subunit ribosomal RNA", at positions 355 to 896 of the family's 1533-position model. The record is from RNAcentral.